GGGACAAAGAGUCACAGGGAAGUUUUCCUUUCUGGUAUAAUCAGUAACUCAAAGGGAGACUAUCAUCUUCUAAGUCUGUAGUUCUGGAACCUUUUUUUCCCUUCUGCCCCAGCCUAGCUGAGAAAUCCGCACACUCUCAUCGGGUGGUCCCCGCGCCCUCCGGCCCCCCGUGACAUUCUCAAGGGGGAAUCACUACUCGACAUAUGGGAUGGAUUACUACGCCCUGAACACAUUUCAGUGACCUCUUCAAUCGCCUAAACGCUUCCUGCACCUUCCUUACAACCGUCAUCUGGAUCACCUGCCCCUCUCUUUCGUUUCCUGACCUUACGCUUAUUUCCAAUAUCAAAAUAGUCCUAUUCCAUGUCGCUACAGGUUUCCUAAAACAGGUGGUGAACCCCGGCUCCGCGUUAAGCAAGCCUGGACCACUUCACAAAAGGAGCCCAGGGCAAGUGAAGACGAGAGGGUCUUAAAAAAUAACAACAGAAACCACCACCUAAAUUUCAGCCCCUCUGUCAAAUGUGACUCUGGGUUAAGUUACUUCCCCCGUCUCCAUGUGCUCCUCGUUAUGAACAGCUACGCGCGGGGUUGCGGCGUUGAUUAUUACCACAGUGUCGGGCACACGGAGACCGCUCUUAAGCAGCAAUUACUACCACUACUCUGACCGACCCCCACGUGAAAGUAACUAGGGUAACUCAAGUGGCGCGCACAAGGCCAACCAGGGACGGGAAAACGGAUUCGGUGGGGCUAAUCACGGCAGCCCGCUCCAGGACGCGGGCGAGAGCUCUGAACGCGCAAAAUUGCUUAUCUGCUUCAAGGCUGCUUUUUUAAAGCAAGGAUAACAUAACAGAACCUGUCUCGUGGAGCUGUUGUGAGGAGUAAAUGAAGUUCAGCAUUUAACAGAGCCCGGCACACAGGACACAUUCUUUCGAACUGUUACUAUAUUCGCUGUCUCUUGAAUUUGCUGAGCCCAGGAACUGUCCCCAAAAUACACAAAUCAAGACACUGA
Molecule: long non-coding RNA, 1006 nt
Organism: Felis catus (domestic cat)
Lineage: Eukaryota; Metazoa; Chordata; Mammalia; Carnivora; Felidae
Exons: 2
Source: RefSeq, a predicted model, not a curated record